This 553-nucleotide small RNA is filed under the name Histoplasma capsulatum var. duboisii H88. Its description in RNAcentral is "Histoplasma capsulatum H88 hypothetical RNA". Lineage: Eukaryota; Fungi; Ascomycota; Eurotiomycetes; Onygenales; Ajellomycetaceae. The record is from RNAcentral.
ACCAGGUGGCCGCAUUACCCAUUCGGCCACCGGGGCCCCAAUGGGGCAUGUUAUCUUGGCAGUUAUCUGACUCUGUACAAUGUGAUUGGUGGUGAAAGAAAUUAUGCUUUGUUUACAUACACUCUCAUUGACCAUCCAUGAAGAAUAUAUAUAUAUAUAUAUAUUUUAUUUACUUUGUAUAGUUAUCUAUCUAUCUAUCUAUCUAUUGACUUGCUUAGCUUCACCACAACAGAGCUAAUACUAUUAUCCCCUCAUCUGACGGCGAGGCAUAAUUAGCGUUAUUUUUUAGCGUGUACAGUAGUGUAUUAAAAACGCGAAAACUACUGAAUUAUAUGAGAGAUCAGCUGUAUUAGUGUGUUUUCAUGUAAUUUAUGUAAUCUAUUUGAUGAUCUAAUUCUAAUUAAGAUAUAGAAUGAAACUCCUGCCAACAUUGGCUUUUCAGACAGAGAGGGAUAUUAUUAUUAUUAUUAUUUUUCCAUUUAUAGAUGUAUGCAGUUAAUGACUAUGACAUCUAUCUGAAUGAUUUCAGGGUUUUUCAAAUCAAGAAUAUCUA